UUUGGGCACAAUAGUGUGUGCCUGUAAUCCCAGCUACGUGGGAGGCAGGAGAAUUGCUUGAGCCCAGAAGCUCUGGGCUGCAGUGUGCUACACUAAGUUCGGAAUCAAUAUGGUGACUCCUGGGAGCAGAGGAUCUGUAGGUUCGUUAAGGAGGGGUGAACCGGCCCAGGUCGGUUAGUAGUAGUGCUUAAGAGUAGUGGGAUCAUGCCUGUGAAUAGCCACUGCACGCCAGCCUGGACAACAUGGCGAGACGCCGCCU
Molecule: unclassified non-coding RNA, 259 nt
Organism: Saimiri boliviensis boliviensis (Bolivian squirrel monkey)
Lineage: Eukaryota; Metazoa; Chordata; Mammalia; Primates; Cebidae
Rfam family: Metazoan signal recognition particle RNA
About the family: The signal recognition particle (SRP) is a universally conserved ribonucleoprotein. It is involved in the co-translational targeting of proteins to membranes. The eukaryotic SRP consists of a 300-nucleotide 7S RNA and six proteins: SRPs 72, 68, 54, 19, 14, and 9.
Source: Ensembl